Molecule: long non-coding RNA, 1536 nt
Organism: Fundulus heteroclitus (mummichog)
Lineage: Eukaryota; Metazoa; Chordata; Actinopteri; Cyprinodontiformes; Fundulidae
Exons: 2
Source: RefSeq, a predicted model, not a curated record
ACAUGCGCUCGCGGGAGCGCGGCUCCAGGAUCUCCACCCAGUCAGAGCUGAGGACAAACGAGGGACAGGGUGCAGCGUUACCGGCAGUUCACCAGCGGAGGCCUUCAGAAAGCCAGCCCCAUUCAUGUGGGGGGGGAAGGCGUCUGCGAGCAGCUAGGAGGAGUCCCUCACCGAGGCUCAGCAACGCAGGACAUGUUCACCCACAGAGGACCGCUUCCAGGCACCCAACAUAUAAUCUGCUCUCUUCUCACACAAUGACCACUUGAAGAUCCUGGCAAGACGAGCUCCUUUCUUUUCUUCAGCGCCCCACCCAACUCCAGCUAAACAUCUUCAGCAGAAAGGGCCCGCGGGGAUGAACUGGUGUCGCCGGAAUCUGCGGCACAUUUGGACCUUUGCCCAGUUUCCAGCUCCUCUCUCCGAGGAGAGGAGAAGAGAGGAGGCCUGCUGUCCAGACUACCUGGGCUGCUCAGAGGGAGCAAGGAGCUUAGCGUGGAUCAGAGCACCUCCACGGUCCGACGAAUACGCACAUGGGCUGCCGGCGCUCACGCCAACUCUCCGCUCAGGCUCAGAAAUAGACACCAGAGAGUGGUGCCGGUCCGCUCUGCCAGAUCCACAGCGUCACCCUUCCUGGCAGCGGCCCUGUGGGAACUACAGCUGCUCUCCUAGAGGAGCGCUGCGCUACCUGUUCACCAGGCUUUAAAUAUCACCUUCUGUGUGAUCCGCUGCCAGAAGCAGCCUCCGGCACUUCCCACCCUAAUAAACCGUCCAGGUAAACAUGGAAGCGGGACUAUAGGGGCCUUCCACAUACCGCUUUCCCAUGUGGUCCCCUGCCCUCUGCUGAGAGGCCAUCUGUUUCCACCCCCACCCCCCCACCCCCCCUACACAAGCUCUAACCUCUUGAGGACGUGCCGUGUGUUCGUUUGCCGGCAGUCUGAAUCGAUCACCCGUACGUUUGUGAGGAAAAGGCCAGGUGUGCGUGUCUAAGGACAAAGCUGCCAUUCUGGGGCCGGGACACGACUGCAGAGGUCCCAACAAGGAGCGCAAACUGCUAGAAGAUGACUCACAGCCUGAUUGGAUCGGCAACACUUAAUGGGUGGGACGCCUGGAAUAUAAUGGGCCAUUCAAAGCGAAGUCAACAGUCAACACCCCCCUCCAUACAUACCAGAGGCUUCAUCCUUUUAUUGCUCCCCGCCUGCCGAGGAGACGCUCCCACACUGAGAAGCCGAGCUCUUUGUGCUGCAUUCAGCCCCGUUUAGCCGCGUUAAUCGCCGCUUUCUGCAACGGCCAACGUCGCAGCCUGAGCCUGUGUCUGAUGAACUCCGCGUGAACGAGAUCAGCGAGAGGUCGGUCCCCGAGCCUAGGAGCGUAGCAGCGGCAAAGGACUGCUCCCUUUAUGUAAAUAAACAGCACUUAGAGCUGAGAGCUAGCCUGCGGGGCCUCUGUUCAUAUGAGCAGAUAAUCGCCGCUCGGGCUCUUGGAUUAAUACUGAAGAGCACUAAAAAAAAACAAGCAAGUUCCUUUAAUAAAAAUAUGAUU